This 465-nucleotide ribosomal RNA is filed under the name Vreelandella stevensii. RNAcentral describes it as "partial 16S ribosomal RNA". It matches the Rfam family "Bacterial small subunit ribosomal RNA", at positions 338 to 795 of the family's 1533-position model. Lineage: Bacteria; Pseudomonadati; Pseudomonadota; Gammaproteobacteria; Oceanospirillales; Halomonadaceae. The record is from RNAcentral.
CCUACGGGCGGCAGCAGUGGGGAAUAUUGGACAAUGGGGGCAACCCUGAUCCAGCCAUGCCGCGUGUGUGAAGAAGGCCCUCGGGUUGUAAAGCACUUUCAGUGAGGAAGAACGCCUGGUGGUUAAUACCCAUCAGGAAAGACAUCACUCACAGAAGAAGCACCGGCUAACUCCGUGCCAGCAGCCGCGGUAAUACGGAGGGUGCGAGCGUUAAUCGGAAUUACUGGGCGUAAAGCGCGCGUAGGUGGCUUGAUAAGCCGGUUAUGAAAGCCCCGGGCUCAACCUGGGAACGGCAUCCGGAACUGUCAAGCUAGAGUGCAGGAGAGGAAGGUAGAAUUCCCGGUGUAGCGGUGAAAUGCGUAGAGAUCGGGAGGAAUACCAGUGGCGAAGGCGGCCUUCUGGACUGACACUGACACUGAGGUGCGAAAGCGUGGGUAGCAAACAGGAUUAGAUACCCCAGUAGUC